This 72-nucleotide transfer RNA is filed under the name Ovis aries (sheep). It matches the Rfam family "tRNA". Rfam says of the family: Transfer RNA (tRNA) molecules are approximately 80 nucleotides in length. Their secondary structure includes four short double-helical elements and three loops (D, anti-codon, and T loops). Lineage: Eukaryota; Metazoa; Chordata; Mammalia; Artiodactyla; Bovidae. The record is from Rfam by way of RNAcentral.
UCCCUGAUAGCUCAGUUGGUAAAGAAUCUGCCUGCAAAGCAGGAGACCGAGGUUUGAUUCCUGGGUUGGGAA